Long non-coding RNA from Mytilus californianus (California mussel), 1859 nucleotides. RefSeq lists it as uncharacterized. The transcript is spliced from 3 exons. NCBI's taxonomy places the organism in Eukaryota, Metazoa, Mollusca, Bivalvia, Mytilida, Mytilidae. The record is from RefSeq and is a predicted model, not a curated record.
AUUCGGGUAUCGCCCGUACAACGUUCGUUUAGCGUUCGUACAACGUUCGGUCGUCGUCCGUACAUCAUUCGUUAAGCGUAUGGUAUAUGGUAUCGUUUAGCGUAUGGUAUAUGGUAUCGUACGUUUAGCGUAUGUUAUAUGGUAUCGUUUAGCGUAUGGUAUAUGGUAUCGUUUAGCGUAUGGUAUAUGGUAUCCUAAGCGUAUGGUCAUUAUCGUUUAGCGUAUGGUAUAUGGUAUCGUUUAGCGUAUGGUAUGUGGUAUCGUUCAGCGUAUGGCAUACUUGUCGUUUUAUUAGCGCAUGGUUUAUGGUAUCGUUUAGCGUAUAUGGUGUAGCGUUUCGUUUAAGGUACUUUGUGGUAAUUGGUUGUAUUAGUAAAACCAAAUAUACCGCUCUUCAUUGUGAAGAUUCGUUGUCAAACAAAAUGAGGCUUUCACUGAACGUAAGACAUCAAAUUCUUCAUUACAAAGCUCAAGGUUUAUCCUGUCUUAACAUUAAAUGUGCUCUUGAGAAAUGUCAUGGUGUGAAAACAAGCCGGGUGUCAGUUUGGAAGUUUAUAAAGAAAUUUACGGAAACUGGAAGCAUCCAUGACAAAAGUCGAAAGGUAGAUAACCGAUUGAAAAUAAGACCAGUGCACAGACGUUUAAUAGACUUUUGGUUGAAAGAAAAUAGUGAAAUGAACUCGACAGCUAUUCGUCAAAAACUGUUGUAUCAUUUUAAAAUUAACAUUUCAAAAAGUUACGUGUGUCAAAUAAGACGUUCACUUGGAUGGAGAACUCAGAGAUGCAAAUAUUGCCAACUUAUCAGUCAUGUUAACCGACGAAAACGGGUGGACUACGCACUGUGGGCUCUAAGAACUAGAGAAACUUUUCUAAAUGUGAUCUUCGUUGACGAGUCAUCAGUAGAAAUGAGUGCUGAUGGGAAACUAUAUUUCUACAAACCAACAUAUGGCAUGCAAUACAUUGAAGCCAGAAGACAGAAACCAAAACAUGCAUAUAAGGUCCAUGUUUGGGCUGGAAUCAGCUAUAGAGGACGUACACACAUUUGUAUAUUUAAUGGUAUUAUGGAUUCUGUAAUUUAACAGCAUAUUUUAAAAGACAAUUUUCUUCCAUUUGUUAAUAGUGUAUUUCCAGAUGGAUAUAGAUUAUAUCAGGAUAAUGACAGCAAACAUUGCAGUAAAUCAACUAAGGCAUGGAUGACUGAUAAUCAUAUGAUUGACAAUGUUAUGAAGACACCAGCUUCUUCGCCAGAUUUAAACCCAAUAGAGAAUGUGUGGUCUUCUAUGAAGCAAUACCUUCAGAAUGUAGCUAAGCCAAGAAAACGUGAUGAACUUGUCAAUGGAAUAGUGGACUUUUGGGAAGGACUCAGUGCUAAUCAGUGUGGAAAAUAUAUUGACCAUAUACAUAGAGUUAUACCUCAUGUCAUCCUAAAUGAAGGCGGACCUACAAUGUUUUAAAUGAUAUUUGAAAGAGAGGCUGCUGAUGUGCUGUUUACAUUUGCAGCAACUUCUGGUUUUACAUGCUUUACAUACUGUCAAUUGAUUGUCCUAUACGUUUACAAGACAUUCUUCAAGUUUGUUCAUAGGAUGAAGCCAUAAUAAAAGUUAACAGUUAUCAAAAUCUUCAUUAUUUGGAAUUUGCUAGUUUUGAAAAGGAGUAUAAUUGGUAUAUAUUACAUCUGCCUUAUUUAAAUUUCAAAGAAGAAACAUUUCAAUUGACAUAUAUACAUUUUUUGGAAGUACAAUACUUUUCAAUGUGAUGAUGAGUCUCAGAGUAUCCUGGUUUGUAAUUGGUCUUUUAGCCAUGUCUGUUUCUGUAAUGUCCAAUAUUAAAAAAGCUUGUGAAAAUCAAUAAAUACAUGA